AGCGAACGCUGGCGGCGUGCCUAACACAUGCAAGUCGAACGUGAAAGGGAGCAAUCCCAAGUAAAGUGGCGUACGGGUGAGUAACACGUAGGUAAUCUACCCCAGAAUCUGGAAUAACCGGCCGAAAGGCUGGCUAAUACUGGAUAGAGCGACGGAAUCCGUAAUUGGGUUUUUCGGGAAAGGGAGCCUGUAAAAAGGCCUUCGUUCUGGGAUGAGCCUGCGUCCCAUCAGCUAGUUGGUGAGGUAAAAGCUUACCAAGGCAAUGACGGGUAGCUGGUCUGAGAGGACGAUCAGCCACACUGGAACUGAAACACGGUCCAGACUCCUACGGGAGGCAGCAGGGGGGAAUCUUGCGCAAUGGACGAAAGUCUGACGCAGCAACGCCGCGGGAGGGAAGAAGGCCUUCGGGUUGUAAAGCUCUGUCGAGUGGGACGAAAAUGCUUGGAGUUCACAGCUCCAGGAACUGACGGUACCACUAAAGGAAGCACCGGCUAACUCCGUG
RNAcentral lists this ribosomal RNA (502 nucleotides) under uncultured bacterium. RNAcentral's name for it is "partial 16S ribosomal RNA". It matches the Rfam family "Bacterial small subunit ribosomal RNA", at positions 29 to 507 of the family's 1533-position model. The record is from RNAcentral.